RNAcentral lists this ribosomal RNA (526 nucleotides) under uncultured bacterium. RNAcentral's name for it is "bacterial SSU rRNA". It matches the Rfam family "Bacterial small subunit ribosomal RNA", at positions 984 to 1509 of the family's 1533-position model. The record is from RNAcentral.
ACAUCCAGAGAUUUAGCAGAGAUGCUUUAGUGCCUUCGGGAACUCUGAGACAGGUGCUGCAUGGCUGUCGUCAGCUCGUGUUGUGAAAUGUUCGGGUUAAGUCCCGNAACGAGCGCAACCCUUAUCCUUUGUUGCCAGCACGUAAUGGUGGGAACUCAAAGGAGACUGCCGGUGAUAAACCGGAGGAAGGUGGGGAUGACGUCAAGUCAUCAUGGCCCUUACGAGUAGGGCUACACACGUGCUACAAUGGCGCAUACAAAGAGAAGCGACCUCGCGAGAGCAAGCGGACCUCAUAAAGUGCGUCGUAGUCCGGAUUGGAGUCUGCAACUCGACUCCAUGAAGUCGGAAUCGCUAGUAAUCGUAAAUCAGAAUGUUACGGUGAAUACGUUCCCGGGCCUUGUACACACCGCCCGUCACACCAUGGGAGUGGGUUGCAAAAGAAGUAGAUAGCUUAACCUUCGGGAGGGCGUUUACCACUUUGUGAUUCAUGACUGGGGUGAAGUCGUAACAAGGUAAGCGUAGUGCU